GGCUGCUGUUCUCGCCGGAGUUGUGCGUCGUCGCUAGCCCAUGCGCCCCCCUGUGCGAUGGGGGGAAGCAGUGUGGGGCUGGGGACUUUCGUUGUGUUUGCAUCACGCAGGGUUGCUGCUGAGCCAUGAGGGUGGGGGGCAAUGCAGCGUGAUCUGACGGUUAUACAAAAUGCAAUCCAACAAUGCGCAGGCGCCACAAGUAAAAGAUGAACGGUUGUCUCAAAACAAAACAAAAAAGUAAAAGAUCAACGGAAGCAUUUUCUCAGUCAAGAAAAAGCAGAAAAGAAUGGGUCCUCUGGAGCACAAUUGCACAAACCCCCCACUCUAAAUAAAAUGCACAACUUUCUUGAAUACCAAAUGGUGGCCUUGCUGCCAUGCAUGGUAGCUGCACGUAACAGUUUGGAUUCAGACAGAGUAGAAUUGUGAUUAUGAGAUGGACCCAUUGUCCUUUAUAGCUCGUUUGGAUCCACUAUAAUUGGACACAAUUCCUUCCAUGAACCGAGAAUUUAAACUACCCCUUGGUGAAGUACUCCUAUUAAAAGAACAGGCGACACUUUGGACAUGGAUACGAUCUCCAACAUGCAAUUUCAUCAUUACUUUCGAAAUCAAUAUGAUAGUAUGAAAUGAAAAUUAUGAAAACAUGGUUUGUGAGCCAUGCCAUCUUACAAUAUCAUUUUCACUUGCCUAUGUAAGUUGGACUACAUCAUUUUCUAAAACGGUCAUGUAUUUCUGAACAGAGUAUUAACAGAUGCUCAACAAUGUAUGAAUGUAGUUACUCUUGCAAUUAUCAUUUAAAAUUCUGCAGGCCAUAUUUUGUACUCUAGGGACAGCUUAUCACACCCUAGGUGCUUUGUUACCACGAAGUUUCGGCACUUCGCAGUUUGAACUGGUUUCCACUAGAACCAAAAAAUUAUUGAAUGUAACAAGUGUGCCAAUUACUCCGGUCCUCGGGAAAGAAUAGUAUAAAGCAAAUGCCAUUUAUAGUAUAAAGCAAAAAAUAUUUUUAUAUAUGCCAAGUAUCUCUAUUUAGAGACAUUAAAACUAUGCAGUUUUCCAGCCCUCUCAGGCCAUUGGCGUUAACAGUCGUUGGAUCCUUAGUUUGGUGCAUUUGUGGCCGUCAGAUUUGCUCUCGAUCGCCCUUAAUCAGCCCCAGUUUGCUGUGAUCGAGCGCCAACAGUUAUGGGCCGCUGCUCUGGUCGCAUUUUUCCGCUUCUAUGGUAAACUCGGCCUAAUGGGCCUUUGCACACUUCCGGGCCUCUACCAGCGUAAGUGUUUUUUUUUCAAAACAAAAAAAAUGGUGUCGAUCGGCGGAGUCACGUGCCUCCCAUCCCUUCGCCUGGCGGCCUCCUGAGGCUACCGACUUGGGUGACCGCGGAUGCCGGGCCAGAGCAACGGAUCCAUGGAGACUGCGCUGGUUCAGGCAGCGCCUCGCCUGGGGUCCGCUCGAUUUAAUCGACCCGUUGUGUUGCACGGCGCGGCAGGAUGGUCUGUUGCAGAAAACAUGGCAUGCGCCCUUUGAAGUUCUAUCGCCAACCCGACGAUGAUUGAUUGAGAGUUUAAUCAGUCAUUACUACCAAUCGGUGCGCGAGCUGCUGGUUACUGUAGGUCAGUUACAAUUGGUAUUCAUAAUUUUUAUUCAAUAUAUGGACGCCCAUAUAAUCCCAACCUUUCCACUGCAUGUUCCGCAAAUCAUUCUCUACCAACUAUGGGUGAUUUUUAGGUCUACAAUUCAUUCCAAUUCUCUCUCCUUCCUGCAUCUCCUCUUCCCCCAAUUCUUCAUCUUUAGAAUUUGAUUUGUUUAUGAUGUUCUUUGUGCUGACAAAAAAAAAUGCAGGUUCUGUACACGGACAAAUUCGAGCAACAUACUUUCUGUUCUUGUUGCAUCCUACUCACCUAGGACAUCACCUUUCCUGAUUGACUUCUGGAUCGAAUUGAAACUGGGAUGUUGGGUUUCUUGAUUUUCUCAUGACAGUCGUUUUCCUGCCAGAUCUUAUAUUUGCCAAGACCUGCGUGCGGUGAGAUCAGUCAUGGAUGGUUUCAGUCUAUGCAUCUUCACGGCUGGGAGCAUGAAAAACCUUCACUACGAAAGGAUGGAGAAACUCAAAGUACUGAUGGGACACAGUAGGUGUCCGGUUUGGUCGAAGCUCUGAUUUAUACGAUAGACGGUGCGUGGGAGAAACAGAAAGAUUGAAAUCUGUAGAUAGCUUUGGCAGAUGAAGCUGACUUGCACUCGCCAGUUGUGUUACCAAAUGCCAUGCCAUAUAUUCUAUUUUUUCUGUUUUGUAGGCUUACUGCGCCCUGAUUCUUCAAGAGGAGUUCAUGUGUGCUAUUAAG
This is a long non-coding RNA of Triticum dicoccoides, 2334 nucleotides long. RefSeq lists it as uncharacterized. The record is from RefSeq and is a predicted model, not a curated record. The transcript has 4 exons. NCBI's taxonomy places the organism in Eukaryota, Viridiplantae, Streptophyta, Magnoliopsida, Poales, Poaceae.